UGCACUGUAUAAUCCUGACCCUCACAUAAUCCAAGAUUAUUUUGUAUGGUGGAAUCCGACAUUGUUUUUACCGGAAGUGUUGCCGUGGAGUUCCACGUGCUUUCCAUUCUUGUGUCUCUCGGAGCUUUCGUCAUCUUUCGUAAAAAGCGCGGGAAAUUGUAUCAUCAAUGACAAUGAUAUUACCGGAGAGUAACGAAUGUUAUGGAAUAAGGGACCCUCAUAGAAACCAAGAUGGCGGUUAUACAAUGUAAAUAAUCUUGAAAA
Molecule: long non-coding RNA, 264 nt
Filed under: Mytilus galloprovincialis (Mediterranean mussel)
Lineage: Eukaryota; Metazoa; Mollusca; Bivalvia; Mytilida; Mytilidae
Source: RNAcentral